Molecule: transfer RNA, 76 nt
Filed under: Alphaproteobacteria bacterium
Lineage: Bacteria; Pseudomonadati; Pseudomonadota; Alphaproteobacteria
Also listed under: 1 other name
Description: tRNA-Trp
Rfam family: tRNA
About the family: Transfer RNA (tRNA) molecules are approximately 80 nucleotides in length. Their secondary structure includes four short double-helical elements and three loops (D, anti-codon, and T loops).
Source: RNAcentral
AGGGGUAUAGCUCAGUUGGUAGAGCGACGGUCUCCAAAACCGUAGGCCCUGGGUUCGAAUCCUAGUGCCCCUGCCA